CUUUUUCAUUUAUAAAAUCCAUUUGUUUAAUUUCCCACAUACUCUGCAACUCCUUCAACUCCUUGCCUUCUGCUUUCACACCAGGCGGCCAAGCCUGUGAGACAUCAUCGGCGACGCUUGCAGGCUGUGAGCUUGAUGACUGAGCCAACUCUUCAACCUUUCUUCUUUAAUUGCCUUUUUACCAUCCUUCACAAAAGAUCUCUAACACCAUUUCUGGUCAUGCCGCAGCUCCCUCCAGGCAUGCUCAAGGCCAAACUUUAUGAGGUAAUAAUUGAAGAAGAUAUCAUGGACUGCUUUCAUUACGUCGUUUUUAUUCUAACCGCUUGACUUUUCUUUCAGUGCAGCCUGGUACGAGCCCACAAAUUUGCAGACCUGGUCAUUAAUUCUUCCCCACUAUUGCUUACACUGAGAGGCUUCUCUUUUUGGUAGACCUACAAUCUCUGGGCUUGCGUUGUAGUAUGCCUGAAUUCGCUUCCAAAAGGCAGCAGCUCUUUGUUCAUUGCCGACUAUUGGGUCCUUGCUCGUAUUGAGCCAUGCACUUAUCAACACCACAUGUUCCUUCGGAUCAGUCCAAUGCCUUCUGACUUUACGGUCAUCAAUACCAACACUUGGAUCAUCAGAACUGCGUGUUGUACUAAACAAAGGAAUGUCUGCUGAUCCAAGUUCUAUACAAGGCGAGUAAGUCUUAUUAACUAGCUGACUAGUUAAGAGGUUUACAAAGCCUUCAGACUGAUUAAAUGAAUUCUGAGAAUCCAUAUGAAAGUUUUUAGAAAGAAGAUGUUUCCAAGAGAAAGUGUUUAGAAAGAAGAUGUUUCGAAGAGAAAGUUUUUUUAGUGUUUAUGGUUUUUAGUGUUUCAAAGAGAAAAUGUUUAGAAAUAAGAACUUCAUAGAAGAGAAAGUUUUUUAUUGUUUAUGGUUUUUAGUAUUUGAAGAGAUUGUGUUUAGUGUUGCAUAUAUGUAAUUGUGGAUUUAUAAGAAGAUCUUUUUAGUG
RNAcentral lists this long non-coding RNA (991 nucleotides) under Eutrema salsugineum. RNAcentral's name for it is "long non-coding RNA (ESAL_LNC000533)". Lineage: Eukaryota; Viridiplantae; Streptophyta; Magnoliopsida; Brassicales; Brassicaceae. The record is from RNAcentral.